Molecule: ribosomal RNA, 465 nt
Filed under: uncultured bacterium
Lineage: Bacteria
Description: partial 16S ribosomal RNA
Rfam family: Bacterial small subunit ribosomal RNA
Source: RNAcentral
CCUACGGGAGGCAGCAGUGAGGAAUAUUGCGCAAUGGGCGAAAGCCUGACGCAGCGACGCCGCGUGAGGGAUGAAGGUCUUCGGAUCGUAAAACUCUGUCAGCAGGGAAGAACGGUCACUUUGCUAAUCAGCAUUGCAUUUACGGUACCUACAAGGGAAGCACCGGCUAACUCCGUGCCAGCAGCCUCGGUAAUACGGAGGGUGCGUGCGUUAAUCGGACUUACUGGGCGGAAAGGGCUCGUAGGCGGUAUGUCAAGUCCAGGGUGAAAUCCCCGCGCUCAACGUGGGAACUGCCGUUGAAACUGGCAAACUUGAGUGUGCGAGAGGAUAGUGGAAUUCGAGGUGUAGGAGUGAAAUGCGUAGAUAUCAGGAGGAACCCCAGUUGCGAAGGCGACUAGCGGGCACAUAACUGACGCUGAGGAGCGAAAGCGCGGGUAGCAAACAGGAUUAGAUACCCCAGUAGUC